Molecule: long non-coding RNA, 1789 nt
Organism: Macaca mulatta (Rhesus monkey)
Lineage: Eukaryota; Metazoa; Chordata; Mammalia; Primates; Cercopithecidae
Source: Ensembl
GCCCCUAGCCCGCCUACCCACGCGGUCGCUGGGCUGGGUGAGCUGCGCCGCUGCAGGUAGUGCUGAGUUGCUCCAGGUGAUCUCCUCCUGGCAAAAAGCUCUUGGAACCGAGCCACCCUCGCCCUAGGAGCAACGCCUGUGAAUAAUAUGGGGUUUCGUCGGAUUUCUGCGCGCCGCUCUGGAUCACACGUUUGUUCUCCCUAGUUGAGUCGCAAGGCCUUCCUUCGUUCCACCUAGCAGGCUGCUUGGAAAAGGACAGAGACUGUCAUUAUUUUGCACCAGUGCCACUGGGUUAGGGUCUCCACGACUAAGCUGGUCUCAGCAAAGUGGUGUCCAUACGUGGGGUUCGAACCGAAGUCAAAGAGUCACUGGAACGACAGUUGGAGAACGUGGAACUAAGCUGGAGGGCACCCGAGUACUCUUAAGCAAUCCCCGUGGACCGAAUCAACAGCUGAUUUGGAUACCUUCAAGACACCUGAAACCUUACCAUGAGCCAGAUGCCAAGGAAGAGAUUCCAGGAGGAUCCCAAGGACUGCCCGGUUGCAGCCGUGUCGAGACUGACACUGAGGAGGACCCCAACUGUCACGAGCAACACCCAUCGAAGGCAGCCACCUACCUGAGGACAGAUCAAGAAGCUGUCACAGAUGUUGGAAGAAAACCUGAGGAAAGUGUGACAACCAGUCACAAUAAGUAAUUUAAUGAUAGCAAUGGUGGUGAUCACCAUUGCUGUGAGUAUUCCUUCAACAAGGGCUGACACUGAGAACAAUUAUACUUAUUGGGCAUAUUUAUCAAUCUUGGUUGGCAAUAAUGCCUGGAUGUAAUCACUCUAUGACACAGUUACACAUAUUUUCUAGUCUCAGUAUUUACCAUAAUAAAUCUGCUCCUAUAAUUGAGGCAUACCACCCUCAAAAACCUGUUUGUAAACAGAAUUGAACCUGGCCAGAAAAACUGAAUAUACUUGUUGGGGAAGAUUGCAUUGCAAAACAGGCAGAGGUGCUGCACAACAAUUCCUAUGGAAUCAUUGUUGAUGGGUCCUCUAAGGGGAUGUUUAGCUUGAAUUACACCUCUCAGUCAGAUUAGCAGCUAGUAACCCAUUAAAAUACAUAAAAACACUUGGAAGCUCUAUGAUUUCAAUGAUGAUUGUGCUUUUAAUCUGCAUUAUUUGUCUUUGUAUAGUCUGCAGAUGUGGAUCCUGACUCCUGCAAGAAGUAGUUCACCAUGAUAAAGCCACCUUUGCUGUUAUUGUCUUGCAAAAACAAAAGGGGGGAAACAUGUUGGGAACAGGCCCCCAAAUCUGGCCAUAAACUGGCCCCAAAACUGGCCGUAAACAAAAUCUCUACAGCACUGUGACAUGUUCAUGAUGGCCAUGACAUUCACGCUGAAGGUUGUGGGUUUACUGUAAUGAGGGCAAGGAACACCUGGGCCACCCAGGGCAGAAAACCGCUUAAGGCGUUCCUAAACCACAAACAAUAGCAUGAGCAAUCUGUGCCUUAAGGACAUGUUCCUGCUACAGAUAACUAGCCAGAACCUAUCCCUUUGUUUCAGCCCAUCCCUUUCUUUCCCAUAAGGAAUGCUUUCAGUUAAUCUAUAAUCUGUAGCAACAAUGCUUAUCACUGGCUUGCUGUCAGUAAAUAUGUGUAAAACUCUGUUCGGGGCUCUCAGCUCUAAAGGCUGUCAGCUCCCUGAAUUCCCAUUCCACACUCUAUAUUUCUGUGUGUGUGUGUCUUUAAUUCUUCUAGCACUGCUGGGUUAGGGUCUCCACGACUGAACUUGUCUCAGCAGUAUAGAA